ACAGGUUUGAGGGUAGUUCAAAUAUGUUCUAUACGUUUGUGGAUUUUUGUGCUGCCAGCCACUCCCGAACUAGUGCUUUUGUAAAGCUGACCUAACGAUAGAGUGGAUGGACAUGUUUUUGGGAUUUUUAGGUUCUUAGUUACGAAGGAGAAGAAAUGAAAUCCAGUUUUAGGCUUGCGUUCGGCUUGAAAAAAACUUGUCCCAAGCAUAGUAACCAUAGUAACCACGGAGACAGCUAUGAGAGAAAGAGUUUGUAUGUUCUUUCUACUUUCUAAGGAUUUUUCAACUCAGGUAUAUGAGACACUGAAUCAGAGUAAUGAACUACUACUUUUUGUCUCUUUCUAUCGUGUCAUUUCUCACUGCCGAAGUUUCAUCUCGCUCCAGUCAAACAUCGCACCCAAUGGCAUGCCUCUUUUACUUGAGUUUCUCAUGAAUUCAAGUCCACAAGGAAUGCCUCGGCAACAGCAAGAUCAACGAAACCAUCAUCAAACUCAACUGCUGUGUUUUGACUCAUUGUGUAAUUAUUUUUUGUCUCUUACAGAUCCAGUAUUUGAAGUCUCUACACUUAGCCAACCAUCAACAACCAUGAAUCUAGUGUUCCCUUCUUUGCCAGCAAUCAUCAAUUAACGUCAGCAUCAUAGCAUGACAUCAUCAUUUUCAUAUACCAUCUCAAUAAUUUGCAGCCUUUACUGCUCUUCUUAGGCUGACAACAUGUGUACUGUUGUGCCAGCCUUUUUUAUACUUUUCAUGCCAUCGCCUCAUUAUGAACUGUCAAGUUUUUAUUUGCAUUUACGUUCAAAAAACGCCGUCCAGUAGUUAUCAUGCCUCCGUAGGGGAUUUAAAACAUAAUGCCCACAGCCGAGUGAAAGAGGGCAUCUCGUAAUCUUUGCGGAUCCAAAACAGCUGACGGCGAUGGCAUUAGUGCAACGUGAAACUUCUCGUCUGUUUUGGUAUUGUUUGUGUGUGUGUGUUAUUUGUGUGAGUUAACCCGUUGGCUGCCACCCAUUUUGCUCCCAUUUUUUUUUUAGCUGUAGGGACUGCGCGCACUGCUCUGCCCUAUGGGGUAGGGCAGUGCUCCGCCGCAAGGCGGUUAGGCAAUGCACCAGUAGGGACUUCUCCUUGUUCGAUGCGGUGAUGGUUUCCUGAGGGUGUGCAUUCCCUGUAAAGGUUUCCAUCGCCGUGUCACCCCGGACUUGUCUUCGGACAAGUCCCACUAGAUCGUGGAUCCUUCUGACAACGAUGCGUAGAUUGUAGAAAACAACCUACGGGUUGAAUGGCCUGGCAGCCAACGGGUUAACUCAGUGUAUGUGUGUUUGUAUUGUAAUGUACUGUAUUUAAUUGUAUAACUAUGUAAUUGGAAACAGUGGUGGAAUUGUGGGACGGAGGUGGGAUAAUAAAUGAAAUUCCAUUUA
This is a long non-coding RNA of Daphnia magna, 1412 nucleotides long. RefSeq lists it as uncharacterized. The transcript has 6 exons. The record is from RefSeq and is a predicted model, not a curated record. Lineage: Eukaryota; Metazoa; Arthropoda; Branchiopoda; Diplostraca; Daphniidae.